GACGAACGCUGGCGGCGUGCCUAAUACAUGCAAGUCGAGCGCAGGAAGUCAUCCGAACCCUUCGGGGGGACGUUGACGGAGUGAGCGGCGGACGGGUGAGUAACACGUAAAGAACCUGCCCUCAGGUCUGGGAUAACCACGAGAAAUCGGGGCUAAUACCGGAUGGGUCAUCGGACCGCAUGGUCCGAGGAUGAAAGGCGCUCCGGCGUCGCCUGGGGAUGGCUUUGCGGUGCAUUAGCUAGUUGGUGGGGUAAUGGCCCACCAAGGCGACGAUGCAUAGCCGACCUGAGAGGGUGAUCGGCCACACUGGGACUGAGACACGGCCCAGACUCCUACGGGAGGCAGCAGUAGGGAACCUUCCACAAUGGACGAAAGUCUGAUGGAGCAACGCCGCGUGAACGAUGAAGGCCCUCGGGUCGUAAAGUUCUGUUGUAAGGGAAGAACAAGUGCCGCAGGCAAUGGCGGCACCUUGACGGUACCUUGCGAGAAAGCCACGGCUAACUACGUG
Molecule: ribosomal RNA, 508 nt
Filed under: uncultured bacterium
Lineage: Bacteria
Description: partial 16S ribosomal RNA
Rfam family: Bacterial small subunit ribosomal RNA
Source: RNAcentral